Struthio camelus australis is the source of this 2137-nucleotide non-coding RNA. NCBI's taxonomy places the organism in Eukaryota, Metazoa, Chordata, Aves, Struthioniformes, Struthionidae. The record is from RefSeq and is a predicted model, not a curated record.
UUCAAAAUGAUUUGUCCAUUGUUCAUUAGACCUUUUUACCCUUGUACAUUGGUUAACGUGAAGCUUUUUCUGUUGGGUCAGGUGGAUGAAAAUUUAAGAGGCAGAUUUGCUGUUUUGUUGGUAAAAUUUGUUACUUCCAAAAAGAUUAUAAGAUAAAAACCGGCGAAUUGGGUUUGCCAAAAUGCGUUGUGUUAGGGCAGUUCGGUGUCUCUUGUUCAAAGAGUAACUAAUCUAAAGGAUGAUGGAGAUAAUACUCGAUGAGUAUAGAGAGUGUGUUCAAGCAGUCAUUUUCAGUAUAUCACCAAGUGUUUGUCCGUAGUGACCUAGGCGUACCUGAUUGUGUCUCAGCGUAAGAGAGGAAACAAGAUCAUCUUUUGACGUUUCUUUCAGCGUUAUAACACGUCAACUUACGAGUGUGAUCCCCUUAGUAUGCUUGGUUUGAAUCGUCCAUUGUAACUGUCGGUGUAGUGCUAAAUAGCACUUGGCACCUUUGUGAGAUCAGGACUUGCUGGUUAGUGUUUAUUGCUGAGGAGGGAGGCUAUGUGGCUCAUCUUCUGUUCGUGUAGUACAAGAGACUCCUGCUUUUGUGGCCUCUUUCCUGCUACUUUAACUGUGGCUGCAUUGACCGUGAAUGAGAUCAGGCUGUUAUAUAAAUUAAACCUGUGGACAUGUGGCCAUUGAAGUCAUCGUUAGUGUUGCCAUGGCUUCAUUUUCAUCAGUGUUGGAAUUUUUAUGGGCAAUUUUGGUUGUUCCCAAUCAUUAGGAAUUUUAUUUCCACAAUAUAUGACUAUAUGAAGAAAUUCUAUUCUUCCUGAGUACCUAAUAACUCAGUUGUUGCCGUUUCAUUGAUUUUGUUUUCUUUUCCGUGAUAAAUCAACAGAAGUGGAUUUGUAGAGGAAGAGGAGAGGAUACUGGCUGUACACGAAUCUGAUUGGAGUUGUCCUCAAACAUUUGCGAAUGAAAUAGACUAGUAGUUGCUGCAGUGUGAAAGGAAGAAAUAUAAUGCCUUGGGGAAUGUGAGUGGGACUUGAAGACUCGUGUGCUGUAAGGACAUGCUCAGUUACCAGUAAUAUGUUCUCCAUCACAGAUGUGACUUUGUUCCUUGUCCUCUAGUGGUGUGUUGUGUUGUGUGUCUGAGUUAAAAGAGCAGCUUUCAUUUCUGCACCAAAUCCCACUUGAACAGGAAACUCAAGAGGGCUCAGGGUCUCCUGUUGCUGCAGACUGCUCAGAUCAUGCAGUUUUUGCAUUUGGCUAUGAAGAGAGGAGUAAAUGGCUACCUGAUGGCACAGCAGAGAGAUGGUGGUGCUAUGGAUCGUGAAACGAAUGGGAGGCAACAACAUGUUGCUGUGGCAAAAACAGGCAGAAGAUGUUUUGAGGCACAGCAUUAUAGGUCUUUACUCGCUGUGGCUGCUCCGUUUGCAAACCCCGACAGAGGCAGCAGCGUCUGUAAGAUCCCAGUGUGAGGUAAUCAAUGAGAGUCGUGAAAGUGAGCUGAUGUGGAAGGGAGAAAACAAGACCAUUUUGGAUUCAGAGACCCAAAGAACGGUCCUAAUGUGCACACAGCAAAUCACUGGUCAUUCCUGAGAGAAAGCCGGAGGACUCUGGUGCAUAUCGCUGCUCGGUAUGGGCCAGGGUUGGAUAUGUCAUUCAGCAGGCAGAUGUCCUCCUUGCGGUGUCAGAGUGUUCCAUUGUGCAUCCAGUCAUUUCGACUGAGCAGACCCUUCUGGUGGAUUCAGAGCAAGGAAGCAGUAGGAGCUCCGAUUCCAUCUGCUGCAAAGGGGAAGUAAUUCCUGUGCCUAUUGUCUCCUGGGUCUCUUGGCAUUCAGCCUGGUGAAAGGGCUGCUCAGCAUUGUUCUUAGUCUGCGUGUAACAGCUCUGAAUCCUGCUCAUGUGGUCGUCGUGAGUGGAGAAAGAUCGCUGGAGUGGCUUUUUAGAGAACAGAAUUACAAUAAGACGUGGGAGGUUCUUACAAGUCACCUGUGAGCUGCUUCCUCCCGUUCCUGAACCACGUCUCCUGGGAGGAACUUUAAAUUGCCGUCUGGCUUAGCCUGGGCAAUUCAUACCUGCAGUAUGAAGUCAAGAAGCAUCUUCCUGCUGGGGCUCCUCACCCUGUGGGCAGAACUGCAGGCUGCACCCA